AUUGAACGCUGGCGGCAGGCCUAACACAUGCAAGUCGAGCGGCAGCGGGAAAGUAGCUUGCUACUUUUGCCGGCGAGCGGCGGACGGGUGAGUAAUGCCUGGGAAAUUGCCCAGUCGAGGGGGAUAACAGUUGGAAACGACUGCUAAUACCGCAUACGCCCUACGGGGGAAAGCAGGGGACCUUCGGGCCUUGCGCGAUUGGAUAUGCCCAGGUGGGAUUAGCUAGUUGGUGAGGUAAUGGCUCACCAAGGCGACGAUCCCUAGCUGGUCUGAGAGGAUGAUCAGCCACACUGGAACUGAGACACGGUCCAGACUCCUACGGGAGGCAGCAGUGGGGAAUAUUGCACAAUGGGGGAAACCCUGAUGCAGCCAUGCCGCGUGUGUGAAGAAGGCCUUCGGGUUGUAAAGCACUUUCAGCGAGGAGGAAAGGUCAGUAGCUAAUAUCUGCUGACUGUGACGUUACUCGCAGAAGAAGCACCGGCUAACUCCGUGCCAGCAGCCGCGGCAAUACGGAGGGUGCAAGCGUUAAUCGGAAUUACUGGGCGUAAAGCGCACGCAGGCGGUUGGAUAANUUAGAUGUGAAAGCCCCGGGCUCAACCUGGGAAUUGCAUUUAAAACUGUCCAGCUAGGGUCUUGUANAGGGGGGUAGAAUUCC
RNAcentral lists this ribosomal RNA (655 nucleotides) under uncultured prokaryote. RNAcentral describes it as "bacterial SSU rRNA". It matches the Rfam family "Bacterial small subunit ribosomal RNA", at positions 28 to 670 of the family's 1533-position model. The record is from RNAcentral.